RNAcentral lists this unclassified non-coding RNA (234 nucleotides) under plant metagenome. RNAcentral describes it as "partial contains small subunit ribosomal RNA, internal transcribed spacer 1, and 5.8S ribosomal RNA". The record is from RNAcentral.
UCUCCGUUGGUGAACCAGCGGAGGGAUCAUUACCGAGUUAUUCUACUCCCAAACCCCUGUGAACCUUUACCUCUAUUGUUGCUUCGGCGGGUUAACGCCCCGGAAGGCCCGCGAGGGCCGCCGGAACCAGGCGCCCGCCGGGGGACCCAAAGUUUCGUCUCUUUUGAAUAGCAUGUCUGAGUGGAAUCAUAAACGAAUGAAUCAAAACUUUCAACAACGGAUCUCUUGGUUCUG